UUGCUGUGAUGAUGCAAUUAACUGUAGUUGAAAGCGUUCACUGGAUGCUGGAUGAAACUUCGACAACUAUGUCGAUCCUGAGCGGUUACCUGAGCAA
This is a small nucleolar RNA of Tripterygium wilfordii, 97 nucleotides long. RefSeq annotates it as small nucleolar RNA snoR128. Lineage: Eukaryota; Viridiplantae; Streptophyta; Magnoliopsida; Celastrales; Celastraceae. The transcript has a single exon. The record is from RefSeq and is a predicted model, not a curated record.